This 1565-nucleotide ribosomal RNA is filed under the name uncultured bacterium. RNAcentral describes it as "bacterial SSU rRNA". It matches the Rfam family "Bacterial small subunit ribosomal RNA". The record is from RNAcentral.
GACGAACGCUGGCGGCGUGCUUAACACAUGCAAGUCGAACGGAGAUAUAUAUUUAGUUUACUAGUAAUAUAUCUUAGUGGCGGACGGGUGAGUAACACGUGGGCAACCUGCCUUAGAGUGGGGGAUAACAGCGAGAAAUCGUUGCUAAUACCGCAUGAAAUUAGAGUUUUGCAUGAAGCUUUAAUGAAAGGAGAAAUCCGCUAUAAGAUGGGCCCGCGCCUGAUUAGCUAGUUGGUGAGGUAACAGCUCACCAAGGCGACGAUCAGUAGCCGAUCUGAGAGGAUGACCGGCCACACUGGAACUGAGACACGGUCCAGACUCCUACGGGAGGCAGCAGUGGGGAAUAUUGCACAAUGGGGGAAACCCUGAUGCAGCAACGCCGCGUGGAGGAAGAAGGUUUUCGGAUUGUAAACUCCUGUCUUUUGGGACGAUAAUGACGGUACCAAAAGAGGAAGCCACGGCUAACUACGUGCCAGCAGCCGCGGUAAUACGUAGGUGGCGAGCGUUGUCCGGAAUUACUGGGCGUAAAGGGCGCGUAGGCGGCUAAUCAAGUCAGAUGUGAAAACCCUAGGCUUAACCUGGGGAUUGCAUUUGAAACUGACUAGCUCGAGUGUCGGAGAGGAAAGCGGAAUUCCUAGUGUAGCGGUGAAAUGCGUAGAUAUUAGGAGGAACACCAGUGGCGAAGGCGGCUUUCUGGACGAUAACUGACGCUGAGGCGCGAAAGCGUGGGGAGCAAACAGGAUUAGAUACCCUGGUAGUCCACGCCGUAAACGAUGGAUACUAGGUGUGGGAGGUAUCGAACCCUUCCGUGCCGCAGUAAACGCAAUAAGUAUCCCGCCUGGGGAGUACGGCCGCAAGGUUGAAACUCAAAGGAAUUGACGGGGGCCCGCACAAGCAGCGGAGCAUGUGGUUUAAUUCGAAGCAACGCGAAGAACCUUACCAGAACUUGACAUCUCCUGCAUAAUCCGUAAUGGGAUGAAAUCCUUCGGGACAGGAAGACAGGUGGUGCAUGGUUGUCGUCAGCUCGUGUCGUGAGAUGUUGGGUUAAGUCCCGCAACGAGCGCAACCCUUAUACUUAGUUGCUAGCAUUAAGUUGAGCACUCUAAGUAGACUGCCGGAGACAAUUCGGAGGAAGGUGGGGAUGACGUCAAAUCAUCAUGCCCCUUAUGUUCUGGGCGACACACGUGCUACAAUGGGUAAAACAACGGGAAGCGAGAUAGUGAUAUCAAGCAAAUCCCUAAAAAGUACUCCCAGUUCGGAUUGUAGGCUGCAACUCGCCUACAUGAAGUCGGAGUUGCUAGUAAUCGCGAAUCAGCAUGUCGCGGUGAAUACGUUCCCGGGCCUUGUACACACCGCCCGUCACACCACGGGAGUUGGAAGCACCCGAAGCCGGUGACUUAACCCGUUCGGAAGUCAGAGGUCAGAAGAGAGAAGUGAGAAAUGGAGAAAGCCUAAAGGGUCAAAGGAAAAGGCCCAAGAGGAAUAUCAAAGUCCCAGUUCUCAGCUCUGAUUUCCGACUUCUGAAUGGGAGAGAGCUGUCGAAGGUGAAGCCAAUGACUGGGGUG